UCGGAUCGCGUCGACGCCGGCGGUUCGCCGCCGGUGACUUGUGAGAAGUUCAUUAAACCUUAUCAUUUAGAGGAGGAGAAGUCGUAACAAGGUUUCCGUAGGUGAACCUGCGGAAGGAUCAUUG
Molecule: ribosomal RNA, 124 nt
Filed under: Frullania magellanica
Lineage: Eukaryota; Viridiplantae; Streptophyta; Jungermanniopsida; Porellales; Frullaniaceae
Description: partial 18S ribosomal RNA
Rfam family: Eukaryotic small subunit ribosomal RNA
Source: RNAcentral